This 1253-nucleotide long non-coding RNA is filed under the name Homo sapiens (human). RNAcentral's name for it is "long non-coding RNA NONHSAT215588.1". The record is from RNAcentral. Lineage: Eukaryota; Metazoa; Chordata; Mammalia; Primates; Hominidae.
UAAGAAUUUAUAUACAAGUUACAGAUACAGUGAAUAUCAACUUGAGAUAAGGUUACAGAAUUGUUAUCAUUUUGUUUCUUCUCAUAAGUUACAUUUUGACAUUAUAUUCUUUAUGCUUUCUUUAGCAAGUGAUCCAUUAUGGAUACAAAAGGAAGACUCUAAGAUUAUAAGUAAAAGCAAUUCAAAACUAUCAUGGCUAGUAGGGUUUAUCUGAGUAACAAAUAAAUGAGACAUAGGCUUAUUUACUUUGAAAUUCACUGGCCACAGCAUACCUGCUCACUAGAUACAAACUGAGAUGUUAGCAAAAUGUUCCUUUUUAAAAGGGAAAAUACUUAAAAUCAUUGCUUUAUUUAUUGAUUCAUUAAACUUUGUUUCUGUUCUAUUAACUCAUUGAUAAAAGUCGAAAGGAAUAGACACUAUUGUGGUUGUGAAUGACAUGAACCUUCUGGAACCUUUUGGAAGUCUUCCAUUAAAUCCCUAUCAAAUCCUCUAACAACCAACUAGGCAGAGCCAGUCAAAAGACUAAUAAAGGGAUUUAAGAAGGGGACACACUCAUCAGAUUUUCCUUUUAGACAAGUCACUCUGGAUUGGACAAUGAAGCCACUGAAGGCAGGAAAACACUUGGGAGGCAAUGGCAACAGCCACUCAGGUAAAAGUGAGCAGGAAUUUGAAGGGAUGAGGUCAAGAGGUUUUGAGGAGGCAGAGUCAACAGGACAAGGUGAUUAAGUUGGAGGAGAGCCGGAAGAGGGAUUAAGGUGUUGGGAUAGACACUGGAAUGUAAAUUAGAGAAAGAAUUCAGAUGUGGGAGCAGGUUUGGAGGGAGGGAAGAUGAGUUUCCUUGGAAUAUGUUGUUUCAGUUGUUCAUGGGCUUUACACAUGGAAUGGUACAUGGUGCAUGCACUAUAAUGACUUAAAAGCAUAACCGAAGGGUAGCUUUUAUGUUAUGUAUUUUUUAUCCACAUAAAAAUAAUUUGGAUCUGCAUGGGAUGUUUUGGGUUAUCAAAAUAACUGGAAGGGGUGCUACUGACAUUUAAAGUCAAGGGGGAGGGAGAGAAGGAUGCUGAACUACCCUAUGAAACAAAAGUGACAGGCUUGCUGCACCCGUUUACCACUCAGCACCCUCUUGAAAAACAGUGAAGGUGCUGGUAGAAACCAUAAGCCUCUGUAGACUUGGUAGAAAAGCACAGAAUCCAUCAGAAUCUGUGUAUAUAUGUAUGUAUGUAUGUAUCUCUAUCUAUCUACCUACCUACCAA